GUUUAAUGUAUCAGCUAAGAG
RNAcentral lists this unclassified non-coding RNA (21 nucleotides) under Mus musculus (house mouse). RNAcentral describes it as "oocyte_clustered_small_RNA11941". Lineage: Eukaryota; Metazoa; Chordata; Mammalia; Rodentia; Muridae. The record is from RNAcentral.